AGUGAACGCUGGCGGUAGGCCUAACACAUGCAAGUCGAACGGCAGCACAGUAAGAGCUUGCUCUUACGGGUGGCGAGUGGCGGACGGGUGAGGAAUACAUCGGAAUCUACUUUUUCGUGGGGGAUAACGUAGGGAAACUUACGCUAAUACCGCAUACGACCUACGGGUGAAAGCAGGGGAUCUUCGGACCUUGCGCGAUUGAAUGAGCCGAUGUCGGAUUAGCUAGUUGGCGGGGUAAAGGCCCACCAAGGCGACGAUCCGUAGCUGGUCUGAGAGGAUGAUCAGCCACACUGGAACUGAGACAGGGUCCAGACUCCUACGGGAGGCAGCAGUGGGGAAUAUUAGACAAUGGGCGCAAGCCUGAUCCAGCCAUACCGCGUGGGUGAAGAAGGCCUUCGGGUUGUGAAGCCAUUUUGUUGGGAAAGAAACGCAGCAGGUUAAUACCCCGCUGUUCUGACGGUACCCAAAGAAUAAGCACCGGCUAACUUCGUG
This 492-nucleotide ribosomal RNA is filed under the name uncultured bacterium. Its description in RNAcentral is "partial 16S ribosomal RNA". It matches the Rfam family "Bacterial small subunit ribosomal RNA", at positions 29 to 507 of the family's 1533-position model. The record is from RNAcentral.